Molecule: long non-coding RNA, 482 nt
Filed under: Medicago truncatula (barrel medic)
Lineage: Eukaryota; Viridiplantae; Streptophyta; Magnoliopsida; Fabales; Fabaceae
Description: long non-coding RNA (MTRU_LNC004193)
Source: RNAcentral
GUAAGAGUACACCACCUCUUAUAAAACAACAACGUAAGAGUACACCACCUCUCAUAGAAUAACAACGUAAGAGUACACCACCUCUUAUAGAACAAAAACGUAAGAGUACACCACCUCUUAUAAACAACAACGUAAGAGUACACCACCUCUUAUAAACAACAACGUAAGAGUACACCACCUCUCACAAAACACCUGAACAUAAACAGUCACCAACAACAGCUUCAACUACGACUUCAACGACUUAGACAACAUUAACAACUUAAGACUCCAAUACUUUGGAAAGACAACUUACAACUUUACAACUUAGACCAACAUUAGCAUCCUAAUCACGACAGCAAGGCAGCACCAUUAAAUAAUAUGCAGCAAGUCAACAUCAACAAUAAUCAUCCAAUAUAACCAUUACAACUUCAUAUCAACAUCUUUCACAAUAUAUAAAUCUUUCACAUUUAAUCAUCAACUUAAAUCCACAACAUUAAUCAUUA